This 1229-nucleotide long non-coding RNA is filed under the name Gallus gallus (chicken). RNAcentral's name for it is "long non-coding RNA NONGGAT008109". The record is from RNAcentral. Lineage: Eukaryota; Metazoa; Chordata; Aves; Galliformes; Phasianidae.
CACCUGGGUAAAGGACUGUGCUGGCCAGGAUGCUCUUAUACAAGAAAGAAGGAUUAAUGUGUGCUGCUGCUGUUCUGAAGGCCUCAGCAGCUCUGCACUGUGGGAAGGCAGUCCCUGGCCGUGCCGGAGGUGUCCCAGAAGGGCCAGCACUGUUAAUGCCACAAAGGCUGAGCAGUUGCCUGUUCCUGAAAGCUAGCUAGCCAUUGCCUAUUGUGGGAGUGGGAGAACAAUGGAACAAAUGCAACUGCCAGUUUGCAUACCUAUUGCAUCUGGAAUGGUGUGGCGGGAUUCCUAUACAGCUCCUGCAGCUGUAGAAGGUAGAGGACCAUUACAUGUCCAAGGUACCAAAUACAGGAGUGACUAUACCAAGGUGUGGUGUAGUGAGCCUGUGCUAGGAUUCAGCUUAAGAAGUGUGGAUCUCAGUUCCGCUGUGCUGUAAACCUGAUUACGGAAUGGACCGUUUCCCACUUGGAGGGGGUAUACAUUGUUGUGCACCUCCAAAAGAAAACUGGGAGCCAGGCACUGUUGAUCUGCAGUGUGUGAACCUGGAAUGAGGCCAUUGGCGCUGCUCAGGGAAGCAGUGGAGCUCCCAGCCCAUGAGCAUGGAGUUGCCCCACGGACUCUUCCACUGAAAAAGUGUGGAUGAACGGAGACAGCCAGAUAUUCCAGUGCAGACUUCCCUGCGCUACUAAUUUAAGAUUGCUGUUCAGACUGAAAUUUCCAUGUUGGCUCAUGAUGAAUCCAUAGUCUAUAUGCAGUUCUUGAGAGAUAUUUCCGUAUCCUGAAAUAACAGGAGACUUGUGAUGCAUCUCUUCAUGACCCUGCAGUGCUCCACAACUCAUAGGAUGAAGGACUGAUGACACCACAUUGUUGUACAACAGAACAGUCACUGCGCAACAAUCCUUCAUUUAAAGUCAAUACAACUGAACUGAGGAGUUAAUAAGACUUGCACGCUUCCAUGCGAGGGUUUGAUGUGAUGAGUUCACAUACCUGUCACUUCCCUGGGAUAUGAGCAGCUGCCAGAAACCCCUCUGGCUGCCGUCAAUCCGGCUCAAGAUACCUUGUCAGGAGUGGCUCGAACAGGAGAGAGCGCUGUUUGUAUCCAUACAGUAUUCAAACCCCACUGUUGUCAGAGCAAGGAAUCAUAUUUCCCCAGCGCCUGCCCUCUGGGUAAGAAAAGGCAAACAUAUCAUACAGGUACUAUGAUAAGUCUCCUAGAGAUGUCUCUG